Molecule: long non-coding RNA, 2236 nt
Organism: Spodoptera frugiperda (fall armyworm)
Lineage: Eukaryota; Metazoa; Arthropoda; Insecta; Lepidoptera; Noctuidae
Exons: 3
Source: RefSeq, a predicted model, not a curated record
GUUAAUCACAUAUAAUCACUUUGAUGCCACAAAACUAUCAAAUCUCUCGUAUAAUAAUAUAAAAAGCAAUCGUCUAUAAUUACAUCACACUAUAUCACAGUUUAACUUUAUGCUUACACAUGAUAACUUAAACACUUAAUACUAUUUGCAAAACAAUCAAAAGUUUCAAAAGUUCCUUCCUUUCAUUCGGAUCAUCCAUAUUUAUGGAAAAAAGCUUACAAUUAAAUGCUAUAAAAUUAUUUUUUAAGAUUAAGAGUGUUACACCUUGCUGUUUGUUUUCUUGUAUUAUUUUGGAGUCGUUUAGUGAAAUUUCGAUUUGGGGCAGUUCGUUAGUCGUUCCAUGUAAAAAUGGGCGCGAAUGUCAAAAGACUGAAGAAGGGGUCGUGUAGACAUGGUCGCCUGGCAAUGGUGGGGCGCGGGGGCGGUGGGCGGCUAUUUGUGCACAGCACAAAUCAGCAGACCAAUACAAUUAAUUAUCAGAUUAAGGUGAGCCAUCCAUGCAGCUUGUUCUUGAACGUCGUUACUAAUAUACGCAAUAAUACACAUGAAGUUAUCGCCGACGAUCCGCCAUGUUUUGUCGCUGUUUGGCUUUGAACCUCGGAAGCUCUCGGUUACGGUUCAAUGAUUAAUUGUCAGCAUUUUUCUUAAAUUGACACCUGCAAUUAAGGUCAAUGGGUUUUUGUUGACCUACUGUGGAUGACUCCAACUUUUGGCUUGCCUAUAACGGUAGCACUGACGGCAGUGUGACGUCGGUCAAUAUUAAAACAAUCAGAUGGAUGUCGCAGCCAAACUGCAGUUGUCUCGAGGAGACAAACUGUGUGCGCGUGUUUGUCUAGAUUAAUAAAUAAUAUAAGAUUGAGGGGUUGCGCAAGAAGAUCGAAAGAUUGAUUGGCACCCUCGUAUUAAUGCAUUCUGUUCACAUCAUUGCCAUAGUUGGCAAGUGAGUCGGUGUCGAGAGCGCCUGCAUUACUGUCGAGCCGACAAAUUUUGAACGGCAGUCUGAAUGUUACCUGUUGAUUUGGUACUCUUGUUCCGCGACGUUUGUAAUUUUGUGUUAUCUCUUUUGGUAAAUCGAUUGCGUUGAUUUCGCGUAUACAUUGUUCUCAUUAUGGACAUUUACUGUAAUAUGUAUUUUUGUCACACGAUCCCAAAACAUUUAAUAACAUCCUUAGUAACUGACUUUCGUAAACCGAGUCUUGGUAAAAGCAUCUCGUCAAAUUAAUUUGAGGAACUAACUGCCAAAUAUAUCGGCAUCACCACCCUUGCCAAAUUUUCCCAAUGGAAAGGUAUUGUCGGUGCUCAGUAUUCAGUCGCCCGUGACAAACCCACGCGCGUUUUAGGUAUUUCCUAUAUGACCAUAAUGUCAAUCAAAGAUUAGUUUUAUUUCUAUUUGUGGACCGUCCUUGCAUUUAUUUAUAGCCACAUUAUUUAUGUUUGGUGUUGUUAACAUCGUUUUGUUAUCAAAUAUGUUAACAUCAUCAGUACAAUUUUUAACGUUACCAGUUUUAAUAUAAUUGGUAGCUGAAUGCACUGUAUUAAUGUUCAUCUCCUUAACUUUACUUAUUUUUAGUCAACUUGAUUGUGUUACUUUUGUGACACGUGUCCUAAUGUUCAAUAUACAUUUUAUCUUAAACAGGACAUCCUUUUUACUAGUCUUUAAAACUGUAUCUUUCUGUUGACCCAAUAUCUUCUAACAAUUCCGAUCUAUUUUUAGACAUUUUAAUGCACAUUCAUAUUGUCAUUACAUUGCCACAAUUAUAAUUAACGAUACACUUCAAAUGCAAUCAAUCUUUUCCGUUCUAUUUCAGGUGUGAACAAUGUUGCUACUAAUCAAUAUCGAGACGUAUAUCUUUUUAACAACAUACGACGUACAUAAUUCAGACGAUCUGGCAACUUUAGGCAGUUAAGGGGUGAGAAUAUUUCAAGAUCAGUGGACUUGGUCUUGGCCUAAUUACUACAGUCAUAUUUAUACAAAUAACAAUCAAUCAUAACGACGACGAGCGUACGUGCGUCCUGGCGCACGAUUGUGCUCACUUUUGCUUCAUUAAACCCGUCCGCACCAUCUGCCUUCGCGUUAUCACCAGUAACAGGAAUGACCUGCCAAGAGAAUGGAACCACGGGAGGUUCCUCUUUCUUUUCCGGUUCUGGAGUUUCUAUUGACGAUAUGCUGCUGAAUGAAAAUCCAAAUACGGACUACCUAACGGGUUACCGAGGUUCCAGCCCGAAAGCAGGAGUA